AGAGUUUGAUCCUGGCUCAGGAUGAACGCUGGCGGCGUGCCUAAUACAUGCAAGUCGUGCGGCAGCGCGAGUAGUUUACUACUUGGCGGCGAGCGGCGGACGGCUGAGUAACGCGUGGGAACGUGCCCCAGAGUGAGGAAUAACUGCCCGAAAGGGUAGCUAAUGCCGCAUAUGCUCUUCGGAGUAAAGCUUUCGAGCGCUUUGGGAGCGGCCCGCGUCCGAUUAGGUUGUUGGUGAGGUAAUGGCUCACCAAGCCGACGAUCGGUAGCUGGUCUGAGAGGAUGAUCAGCCAGACUGGGACUGAGACACGGCCCAGACUCCUACGGGAGGCAGCAGUAAGGAAUCUUCCACAAUGGGGGCAACCCUGAUGGAGCAACGCCGCGUGCAGGAUGAAGGCCUUCGGGUUGUAAACUGCUUUUAUAAGUGAAGAAUAUGACGGUAACUUAUGAAUAAGGAUCGGCUAACUACGUGCCAGCAGCCGCGGUAAUAC
RNAcentral lists this ribosomal RNA (490 nucleotides) under uncultured bacterium. RNAcentral describes it as "bacterial SSU rRNA". It matches the Rfam family "Bacterial small subunit ribosomal RNA", at positions 8 to 526 of the family's 1533-position model. The record is from RNAcentral.